This 549-nucleotide ribosomal RNA is filed under the name uncultured bacterium. RNAcentral's name for it is "bacterial SSU rRNA". It matches the Rfam family "Bacterial small subunit ribosomal RNA", at positions 356 to 896 of the family's 1533-position model. The record is from RNAcentral.
AGGGAAUCUUCGGCAAUGGACGGAAGUCUGACCGAGCAACGCCGCGUGAGUGAAGAAGGUUUUCGGAUCGUAAAGCUCUGUUGUAAGAGAAGAACGAGUGUGAGAGUGGAAAGUUCACACUGUGACGGUAUCUUACCAGAAAGGGACGGCUAACUACGUGCCAGCAGCCGCGGUAAUACGUAGGUCCCAAGCGUUGUCCGGAUUUAUUGGGCGUAAAGCGAGCGCAGGCGGUUAGAUAAGUCUGAAGUUAAAGGCUGUGGCUUAACCAUAGUACGCUUUGGAAACUGUUUAACUUGAGUGCAAGAGGGGAGAGUGGAAUUCCAUGUGUAGCGGUGAAAUGCGUAGAUAUAUGGAGGAACACCGGUGGCGAAAGCGGCUCUCUGGCUUGUAACUGACGCUGAGGCUCGAAAGCGUGGGGAGCAAACAGGAUUAGAUACCCUGGUAGUCCACGCCGUAAACGAUGAGUGCUAGGUGUUAGACCCUUUCCGGGGUUUAGUGCCGUAGCUAACGCAUUAAGCACUCCGCCUGGGGAGUACGACCGCAAGGUUG